Camelus dromedarius (Arabian camel) is the source of this 2569-nucleotide long non-coding RNA. RefSeq lists it as uncharacterized. The record is from RefSeq and is a predicted model, not a curated record. The transcript is spliced from 2 exons. Lineage: Eukaryota; Metazoa; Chordata; Mammalia; Artiodactyla; Camelidae.
AGUCGGUGGCGGCAGCUCUCCGGGCCCGGCCGGCCCAGCAGAGGCUCCGGUGGCCCAGGAAAAUCCGGACCAAUUAAGUUGAUUCAGACGCAUCAUCAGUUCCCUUCAGAAACGUUUCUAGUUACCAGCCUUGCCACCAUCUGCAUACAGAGCAUCUUGCAUUUGUUACACUUUGUGUCAUCUACCAAUUUUAAGAACAAUAGUAAAACAAAACCACAAUAUGAAUACGUUGAUUAGUAUGUAAUUCCUUCGGAGGGGUAUGUACCAUUUCAUUCUCUUCUGUUUUCCAAAGCUUUGCCCGCAUGGUUUAUGAGCUUCUUCAAAGAGGACUUGGGCUUCCUACACAAUCUAUAAGGGCAACGCGCCCCACGCGUGUGACGUGCGAGAGACGCGAUGGACGCGCCUUGCUCUUACUGUGCAGGUCCCGAGAGCGCGGGGGCCACUCGCGCCCCGCCGUGUUGAGGACAUAGAAUCAGCCGCUGGAGGGGCCGGCGGGCCGCGGGGGCCCUUCCCGCUCUCGGUCUCACCCUAAGGCCUAAGGCGACCGAGAAAGCCCGGCUCUCCAGUAGGUAACGGGGCGGCGCCCGGCGGGCUGCAGGCGGUUGGGGUCUCAGCGCCGCCUAAGCCCCUUGGUGCCAGCGGCCGCCCCGGGCGCCUGCUCCCCGAGGGCGAGUGGCCUAGAAAUGUCCAGGGAAUCGGAAGCUUCCCUCGCCCUUGUCAGGACGCAAACUCUCCAGCCUCGGGCUCCUAAAAGCGGGUGAUGGGGUAGGAAUUUUGCUGGGAUACGCAGGCUCCUUCGCCGCCCUUCGCCCUCCUCCGUGCGUUCCUCCAGUGCCCAGGCGGAGGAACUCCCGCCCCUGGCUUCCUCCCCCGCCGCCUCCCCCCAGAGAACCCACUGCCCCUUCUCCCUCCCUCACUUCUCCUUUCAUGUACAACCCCCGACCCCCUGCUUUCGUUAGCCAGGCCCGCUACGUUUAUCUGAUAAUUGAGUUAUUAAAAGAUUUGGUUUCCUUGGGCCCAUAAAUCAAUAAACAGUGGGAUUAACGCAAAGGUUUGCCUUUUAAGUCAAGGGAAACGUUUAAAGCAAGCCCCUUUGAGCCUUGUUUUCAAACUAAACAGGUGAGUUGCAGCUCUUCCCACCCCCGACCCCCUGCACUCUUAAGACACUGUAUCCAAGCCACGUGCCCACUCCUAAAUCCUCGAUUCCAAACCCAAAUAGCUAAAGGUAGAAAGGAGGCGUCAGCUUGUGAUAGCGCUGCCCUCACAUUUUUCACUUUGCAAGUUCCUUUGGAGGUUCUAAAGGCCUCCUGACCAUUCUCUCCAACCUUGCCUCCUCCUGCUUGUAUCGUGACUCUCGGAAGAGCAGAAAAAGAGACUCCACCAUGGAAGUGACCUUUAACUUCUCCCCCAAACUGGGAAGGUAACUUUCUCCCCCCCGCCACCCAGUUAGCUUGCAUUUUCUUUCCUUCACUCUGGCACCACGUCCUUAGCUUUCUCCGCCCCUACAUAAAGAACUGAAGAAACUUUCAAAGACGUGGCUUUUUUAUUUUCUUUGGCCAAGGAAACCACUUUCUCUCAAGCAAUUAUUCUCUAUCCUAUGAAAACUUUGGUUGAAUGGAAAGCCCGAAACCCCAAACUUAUCUACACACAGUUCCUCCGGUACAAAGCCUUACUUAAAAGGGCAACUUGUUCCUCCUGAGAGUGUUUAUAGAGAAUUUGUCAUCACAUCUGAUAUCCUGUAUGUGUAAUACAUCAUGUGAAAAGGAAAUAACCUAAAACCAUCUGAUGUUGUCUCAAGAGCCCAAACAGUGUUUUCCCUCCUGUGCUGAUGUAUGUUAAAUGAUCGGGUUUAAAAAGAAAAGAAGAGAUACCAAAAUUCAUUUUGUUUUCUUUUUAAAAAAGUAGAAGCAACACUAUUCUUCUUUAAAUGCCAAAAUCGACUCCUCUGUUGAGUUGGUGUCUGAUUCAUUAACAUUAUUUCUGCCACACAAUCUAGAAAUAUCAAUCUAUUGACUCUUCACGAGAAGAGCUCUGGAGGGUAUCCAUAUUAAGUUUGUAUAUAUUUAUUUAUGCUUAAUUUAAUGGGAAUGUGUAAAUAUGGCGAGCAAGUAGUUUGGGAUUAUUUAUCUGUGAAUCUAUACCUCUGUGAAUGGGUGGUAAGAAAAAAAAAAAACCCGCUUGACCCUAGGUAGAAUCCUAUCUGAAUUUUUCUGUUCUUUAUAGACAAGCUGUUAUGGUAAUGGGUAGAAAUUGGUUUAUUGUCCAGUGUUGAUCUGAUUUACAUAAAUAAAAAGAUUGUUGUGUUUUUGUUGUGUUUUCAUCUUCAGUUUCUUGAAUAGAUAUUGUUUAAUCGUACACAGAAGUAUAGCCAAGAAAUUUUUUCUUUUUGUUCCCCCGUCACCGAAACACAGGCAGUGUUUUCGUUACAAUAAAUAAAUUUUGCUUCUCCGAAAAAUGGACACUUUUGUUUUCACUAGGAGGUGUUUUCGAGUUUUUUUUUAAAUUCUGAAUUGAUACUCUUCUCUCCUAUUUCUAACCAGAUUUGCAAUAAAAGCUCAUGUUAACUGCA